Tympanuchus pallidicinctus (lesser prairie-chicken) is the source of this 2702-nucleotide long non-coding RNA. RefSeq lists it as uncharacterized. Lineage: Eukaryota; Metazoa; Chordata; Aves; Galliformes; Phasianidae. The transcript is spliced from 5 exons. The record is from RefSeq and is a predicted model, not a curated record.
UUUUGUGAGUAUAUAGGGCUCAGCAGCUCUCAGCAUCUGCUUUUAGCUGUAUUUUCUGGAUGGAGCCUUGGUAAAUUUUGGAUGCUUAUAGGUAUAUGUGCCUCCAUGGAAACUGAGCCCUUUUGUGUACCUGAUGAUUGUUGUUUUGUGUGAUCUGAUCUUUCUAUGUCCACAUAAUCUUCUUGGAGGCUUCCUCAUUGCAGAGAGAAAUGAGCUGAGGGAAAAAAAGAAUCAGGAUAAAACAUACCACAGUAACCCUUACUAAUGAAUGAAUGCAUCCUCAGGUGUUCUUCAGCUGUGCUGGAGCAGUGAAGAAGCCUGGAAAACCCUGCAGUGCAGGAGGAGAUGGUCACCAUCCAGUGAUGAAGGUGUGAGGCCAGACAUCUGAGCCUUAUGUGAGAUAUAUUCAUACCGCGUUGACUGAUAAAAGUUACUAGUAUGGAGGAAUCUCUGUCCUAAGAACAGUGUCUUGAGCAAUACCCAAGCUUCAGGGAACUUUUACUAAGAAGCUCAUACCCAAUAGCACCCAAUUUGAGUUUUCCAUGCAUACAGAGCUGCUGUGCAUCUACUCUCAGCAGAUGAGAGUUAAGCUGCUUUGCUUUGCAUAAAACUCAGAACUUCUCUGCUUUCUUCGGAAAAAAAAACAUGAUUGUGCUGAUUUGUGGUUUUUCCUUAAAUGGUCUGCAUAUGUUUGCACGCAAGAUGUCAGUAAUGAAGGAGUCUACUAAAUUCACUUGGUGAAAUUCUAUCGGAGCUUGUGAAAAACAAAACAAACAAAAAAAACCCCAGCCCAUCGAGUAAAAAUGGCUCGAUUGAUGCAAAAGGAAGCACAGAUGGAGGUAAUGGGGUUUCAAAAGAGGAAUUAGAGGAGAUCUGAGAGGCUCAUAAAUCUGCAGCAGUUCAACUUUGCCAAGAACUGUAGUGGGAAAUCCUCAUGACGGGAGGUAUUUCCACACCGUGUGUGCCCAUGAGAGCUUUGCUGGGGCAGCUGUGGGGAAAGCAUUAUCUGGUGGUGACGGCAAGACCUGGCAAUCAGCAUUCCUGAAUCCUGUCGGACCGCGGCUGCUGACUCACAGAGCGGCCUUGGGUACUACAAAGGAAGUGUGGGUGGCAGGCUCAAAUGCAGAUCUCUGCGGUGUAUAAGCAUCAAGGUUGAAGAUUCACCUCACUCUGAUUUUUCAGAAGUUAGGAUCUGUCAAAGGUUGUAACUGCUUUGACCAGCCUCUCAUGGCACCUCCAGAUAGGCAACCCAUACCCCUUGCUUCAGGGGCUGCAUGUGGGCUCCAAUCCUGGCACCAGUCCUUGCUCCAGCUGUGCUGUAGAUGUGCCUGUAUCCCCCAUUCCCUGCUGACCCUGACUUGCUCCUAGGCUCUCCAGGUUGGCUGCACACCCAGUUCCACUCCUGCUGUUCCCCACUGAAGGGAUUGAUUCACCAUUUGACUUGACUUCAGGUCUCCUACUUAGCUUUGAGCUGUCACUCAGAAGUUUCUUACAUGGCCUCCAUCAGCCCCAUGUGAUGUCACAGCUACUCAAAGGGAUCUGACAUGGCAUGGUGUCAGACACCUGUGGGCAGGCAGCUGAAUUUUUCCCUCAAGUGUUUGCAUGUGAGCAAAGUAUCUAAGCUCCUGUUGCAGUCAGUAGGGAUCUAGACCAGGAUCCGGAUCAGCAGACCUUGCAGAGCAAUUUGGCUGACAAAGUUCAGAGGUUCACUUCAUGAAGAGCUGAAGACUUUUGUGAGGCUCUGAUAAACCAAGAGCAGCAUAGGGAGUACCUCAGGUCCAGGCACUCAAAUUAGGCAAACUAAAUCCCAACCUUGGUGACUAAAAGAAGAGUGAAUACAUCUAUAUACAUUUAUUAGAAGAAUAUGAAAUUCAUCAGGCUUUGUGCCAUCAUUUGUCAUUUUCAUCGGGGUGAAGAAUAAAAAGGCAUAAGCCUGGUGGAUGGAUAAGAUUCAAUCUCUGUUUCUCCACAUGCAAACACAUACUCCUUUUCAUCAUACCCUACUAUGCUAUAUUACUUACAUUCUCACAAAAUGUGUGCCUUCUCAAAUGGACCUACAGAUCCUCCAGAUGUACAAGAAUGCACUUGUUGUAUAAAAGAUAUAUUUUUUUUGCUACUGUAAAUGAGAAAUGUGGAAAUAUAAAUAAUUCUUAAUAUUUUUUGUACGGUUUUCUGUAUUUUGAUUCUAUCUCUGUAAUGGGUAAAUGAAAGUAUUAGUAGUGUAUAAUUUAUUUUUUUACAGUCUUCUCUGUUCUGUUCUACAUUAUUGUUACAUCCUCUCCUGUUGCCAUAGAAAUGAUUGAUAUGUCCAAUCACAGCAUUCUUGCCAUACCCUCAUCUCUACAUACUGUGUGCCUUGCUCUUUAAACUAAACUCUCACUUGGCUUUUUGAUACUUUGGAUUAUGCUCUGUAGAAAGAAAAAAGAUUGAGAGGGGAGAACUUUGGCAUUCAGAAGGCUGCAACUAAUCCAAAAGACAAAGUUACAUAUAUUAAUAAUGUGAAUCCACAUGAUUUUACUCUAAGGCUUGUGACAUUUGGUUCUUUUAUUAACCCCCAACUCCAAUAAGCAAUGACUGUGGGAGAAUGUUAGCAUCCUUUCAUUCAAUAUUGCAUGUAAUAAACAAUACAUGGAUUCAUAGCCACAGAAUGUGAAAGAUCAAAGGUAAAUUUGAAGAACUGCCUUUUUGGGUGUGAGCUGAUU